AGUGAACGCUGGCGGUAGGCCUAACACAUGCAAGUCGAACGGCAGCACAGUAAGAGCUUGCUCUUACGGGUGGCGAGUGGCGGACGGGUGAGGAAUACAUCGGAAUCUACUUUUUCGUGGGGGAUAACGUAGGGAAACUUACGCUAAUACCGCAUACGACCUACGGGUGAAAGCAGGGGAUCUUCGGACCUUGCGCGAUUGAAUGAGCCGAUGUCGGAUUAGCUAGUUGGCGGGGUAAAGGCCCACCAAGGCGACGAUCCGUAGCUGGUCUGAGAGGAUGAUCGGCCACACUGGAACUGAGACAGGGUCCAGGCUCCUACGGGAGGGAGCAGUGGCGAAUAUUAGACAAUGGGCGCAAGCCUGAUCCAGCCAUACCGAGUGGGUGAAGAAGGCCUUCGGGUUGUAAAGCCCUUUUGUUGGGAAAGAAAAGCAGCAGGUUAAUACCCCGCUGUUCUGACGGUACCCAAAGAAUAAGCACCGGCUAACUUCGUG
This 492-nucleotide ribosomal RNA is filed under the name uncultured bacterium. RNAcentral describes it as "partial 16S ribosomal RNA". It matches the Rfam family "Bacterial small subunit ribosomal RNA", at positions 29 to 507 of the family's 1533-position model. The record is from RNAcentral.